Molecule: ribosomal RNA, 497 nt
Filed under: uncultured bacterium
Lineage: Bacteria
Description: partial 16S ribosomal RNA
Rfam family: Bacterial small subunit ribosomal RNA
Source: RNAcentral
GAUGAACGCUGGCGGCGUGCCUAAUACAUGCAAGUCGAGCGAACGGACAAGAAGCUUGCUCCUCUGAUGUUAGCGGCGGACGGGUGAGUAACACGUGGAUAACCUACCUAUAAGACUGGGAUAACUUCGGGAAACCGUAGCUAAUACCGGAUAAUAUUUUGAACCGCAUGGUUCAAAAGUGAAAGACGGUCUUGCUGUCACUUAUAGAUGGAUCCGCGCUGCAUUAGCUAGUUGGUAAGGUAACGGCUUACCAAGGCAACGAUGCAUAGCCGACCUGAGAGGGUGAUCGGCCACACUGGAACUGAGACACGGUCCAGACUCCUACGGGAGGCAGCAGUAGGGAAUCUUCCGCAAUGGGCGAAAGCCUGACGGAGCAACGCCGCGUGAGUGAUGAAGGUCUUCGGAUCGUAAAACUCUGUUAUUAGGGAAGAACAUAUGUGUAAGUAACUGUGCACAUCUUGACGGUACCUAAUCAGAAAGCCACGGCUAACUACGUG